CGUGUCCUUCAAAAAAAAAAAAAAAAAUAUAUAUAUAUAUCAAUUAAUCCAGCACAUGCUCAAGGGGAGGGGAUUACACAAGGGCAUGAAUACCACCAGGUGGAAGAAUCUAUCAAGAUAUGUAGCUGCUCAAAAACCCUAUUGGACAAUGAUAACUACAGAUUUGAUGAACGAUAUUUAGAGCAGCAGUAAACAUUUUAGUCCAUGUAUCCUGGUGCCAGAGGGGAUUUUUCCAGGAUUGAAAUUGGUGGUCACAGCUAUGCAUAUCUUCACUUGUACUUCAUAAUACUGUUUUUCGAAGUCAUCAUGCCAAUUUACAUUCUUAUUACUACUGAAUGAGAAUUUCUGAGCUCUACGUUACUGCUAGCACUUGAUAUAAGAUGAAAGCAAUGAGAAUUGCAAGGAAAACUUGAAUGUAAUUUAUGGAAGAUUUGAACAUUGUUUUACAGUGACAGAGUUAAUAGGCAGAAAUUAGUGGGCUAUAUAAGAAUUGAAUAAUAUAAUCAAUAAGCUGAGUUUUUUCAUAAUGUACAUGUACUUAUACAUCUUUUGACUGAAGAAUAUAUGAUUCCCUUGUAUGAUUUAGGACAUUUAUAAAAAAUUGGUCAUGUACUUGUUCACAAAAGAAACAUUAAAGUCAGGAAAGUAGACAUUUUAUGGGCAAUAUUCUCUGAUCUAAAAGCCAAUCAAGUAGAAACAAUAAUAGAGUAUCAAAUCUUAAUGACUUGGAAAUUAUGAAACAUAAUUAAGAUUGUUCUUGGAGCAGAGGAAAUCACAGGAAGUAUUAUAAAGAACUCUUUAAAAAAAUUUAUGGGAUAAAGUAAAAGAUUUAUUUAAAGUACUUUCAUUAUUGAAGAAGAAAGACUAAAAUAAGUAAAUUUU
Molecule: long non-coding RNA, 882 nt
Organism: Leopardus geoffroyi (Geoffroy's cat)
Lineage: Eukaryota; Metazoa; Chordata; Mammalia; Carnivora; Felidae
Exons: 3
Source: RefSeq, a predicted model, not a curated record